This 345-nucleotide ribosomal RNA is filed under the name uncultured bacterium. RNAcentral's name for it is "bacterial SSU rRNA". It matches the Rfam family "Bacterial small subunit ribosomal RNA", at positions 8 to 350 of the family's 1533-position model. The record is from RNAcentral.
AGAGUUUGAUCCUGGCUCAGAUUGAACGCUGGCGGCAUGCUUUACACGUGCAAGUCGAACGGCAGCACAGGGAGCUUGCUCCCGGGUGGCGAGUGGCGCACGGGUGAGUGAUACAUCGGAACGUGUCCUGUUGUGGGGGAUAACUGCUCGAAAGGGUGGCUAAUACCGCAUGAGACCUGAGGGUGAAAGCGGGGGAUCGCAAGACCUCGCGCAAUUGGAGCGGCCGAUGCCCGAUUAGCUAGUUGGUGAGGUAAAGGCUCACCAAGGCGACGAUCGGUAGCUGGUCUGAGAGGACGACCAGCCACACUGGGACUGAGACACGGCCCAGACCUCCGUACGGGAGCA